This 433-nucleotide unclassified non-coding RNA is filed under the name soil metagenome. RNAcentral's name for it is "partial contains 5.8S ribosomal RNA, internal transcribed spacer 2, and large subunit ribosomal RNA". The stretch from base 1 to 120 matches the Rfam family "5.8S ribosomal RNA", at positions 35 to 154 of the family's 154-position model. The record is from RNAcentral.
GAUGAAGAACGUAGCGAAAUGCGAUACGUAAUGUGAAUUGCAGAAUUCAGUGAAUCAUCGAAUCUUUGAACGCAUAUUGCGCUCUCUGGUAUUCCGGAGAGCAUGCUUGUUUGAGUAUCAGUAAACACCUCAACUUCCAUAUCUUUUUUGAAAUGGGAGUUGGACUUGAGUGAUCCCAACGCUUUUCCUCACCGAAAAGUGGCGGGUUACUUGAAAUGCAGGUGCAGCUGGACUUUUCUCUGAGCUAUAAGCAUAUCUAUUUAGUCUGCCUAAAAAACAGAUUAUUACCUUUGCUGCAGCUAACAUAAAGGAGAUUAGUUCUUGUGCUGACUGAUGCAGGAUUCACAAAGACAGGCUUCGGCCGACUUUGUAAACUCGAUCUCAAAUCAAGUAAGACUACCCGCUGAACUUAAGCAUAUCAAUAAACGGAGGA